AUGCAAAAUAUCGAGAUCAUCCGGUUUUAAAAAGGAAUAGUUUGCACCAUGGCUCAUGCUUAUUUAUCAUGUUACAGGAUAAGAUAUGCCACGUGUCAUAGAAUCCAAUGGUUGUCAACAUUGUUUGACCUUUACUUUGCAGACCAAACAUUCAACACAGU
Thalassophryne amazonica is the source of this 161-nucleotide long non-coding RNA. RefSeq lists it as uncharacterized. The record is from RefSeq and is a predicted model, not a curated record. NCBI's taxonomy places the organism in Eukaryota, Metazoa, Chordata, Actinopteri, Batrachoidiformes, Batrachoididae. The transcript is spliced from 4 exons.